Molecule: unclassified non-coding RNA, 384 nt
Filed under: uncultured Planctomycetales bacterium
Lineage: Bacteria; Pseudomonadati; Planctomycetota; Planctomycetia; Planctomycetales
Description: contains 16S-23S intergenic spacer region
Source: RNAcentral
UCCGGCUUGACGCCGGCGGUCUCCCUAGAGUCCCCGCCAUGACGCGCUGGCAACUAGGGACAGGGGUUUCGCUCGUUUAGCGACUUAACGCGACAUCUCACGACACGAGCUGACGACAGCCAUGCAGCACCUGUGAUCGUUCCACCCGAAGGCGUCACUGACCUUUCAGCCAGCUAAUCCGACCAUGUCAAAUCCAGGAUAAGGUUCUUCGCGUUGCCUCGAAUUAAGCCACAUGCUCCACCGCUUGUGUGAGCCCCCGUCAAUUCCUUUGAGUUUCAACCUUGCGGUCGUACUCCCCAGGCGGGGUACUUCCUGCGUUAGCGCCGGCACCCAGAGGGUCGCUCCCCCAGGCACCUAGUACCCAUCGUUUACGGCGUGGACUAC